RNAcentral lists this ribosomal RNA (301 nucleotides) under uncultured bacterium. Its description in RNAcentral is "partial 16S ribosomal RNA". It matches the Rfam family "Bacterial small subunit ribosomal RNA", at positions 509 to 808 of the family's 1533-position model. The record is from RNAcentral.
CAGCGCCACGGUAAUACGAAGGGGGCUAGCGUUGCUCGGAAUUACUGGGCGUAAAGGGCGCGUAGGCGGACAGUUCAGUCGGGGGUGAAAGCCCGGGGCUCAACCUCGGAAUUGCCUUCGAUACUGGCUGUCUUGAGUAUGAGAGAGGUGUGUGGAACUCCGAGUGUAGAGGUGAAAUUCGUAGAUAUUCGGAAGAACACCAGUGGCGAAGGCGACACACUGGCUCAUUACUGACGCUGAGGCGCGAAAGCGUGGGGAGCAAACAGGAUUAGAUACCCCCGUAGUCCCUGUCUCUUAUACA